This 186-nucleotide small RNA is filed under the name Pediococcus argentinicus. Its description in RNAcentral is "Listeria sRNA rli28". It matches the Rfam family "Listeria sRNA rli28". Lineage: Bacteria; Bacillati; Bacillota; Bacilli; Lactobacillales; Lactobacillaceae. The record is from Rfam by way of RNAcentral.
CUACUAUUGGUAUACUAAUCUAAUAGAGAAGUUGAGGCGGUGGCUGUUCUUCGAAAGAGGGUGAUGCUUAUGGUGUAAAAACUGUUUGCAAGCAUUCUAGGAAAGGAAUAGUCGAGUGUCCAUUGUGGACGCUCUAGAAUUGAUGAUAGCAUUUGCCACGUUCGUGGUUUUAUUGCUGGAAUUAAU